Molecule: long non-coding RNA, 1359 nt
Organism: Musa acuminata AAA Group (dessert banana)
Lineage: Eukaryota; Viridiplantae; Streptophyta; Magnoliopsida; Zingiberales; Musaceae
Exons: 3
Source: RefSeq, a predicted model, not a curated record
AUACAAAUGCCCAUGUGGGAUGACAUCUGCAUGUUUUUGGACCCUGUUUUGUGUGCUAAAAUCUGACAGGUAAUUCAUGAAGCCAAUUGGGUUGCAGUGUUGAGGGGUUCAGAAUCUUGACUGUACUUGAACAGGUUCUUCUCCCUUGGAGCUUUAUCCUUUUCAGGACAAUAAGAUGGAGUUACAGGGAAGAGUUGUGAAGUUGGGAUCUGUCUUCUUCACAGUCAAGAGAAGCUUUUUAUCCUUUGAUGAAAAGUGAAGCUUUUGUUGCUUAGCAGUAAAGUUGAGUUAUGGACAACAGACAUCAAAUCUUGUGACUUGGAAGGAGACUUUCCAUGUGACAAUAAUUGAAAGAAUCAUAUUAUCAGACCUGAAAGCAAUGAGGGGGCAGCUGAUGGAACAAAUUCCUAGCACUUUUCCCUUGUUCCUCAGAAAAGAAAAAGAAGGCAUGCUAGCAUGCACUCAUGCGCGCACACUCUCCUAAGAGGUCCAGUUACUCCUACGUCCAUGGGCACAUAUGUUGACUGCAUCCAAAAGGGUUAUUCAAAUGAAGACCUUUUCUUCUGCUGUUCUGGAACCUCGCAGUUAUGGAGCAGAAGCAAUGGAAAACAAUGUUCAUGAUUGACAAACUAGCUAUUGCAGUAUAAAACAUGGAACUCAGGAAGAGAGGGAUCCAAGUCAUUUGGAGCAUGGAGUGCACCAACUACAGUUCAAAGUAAUGAAGGAAAGCAACAUGGUAUGUAACCAAGCAAAUUAGUUCCAUGAAGAUAGAAUAUUUAUGGAGAAAAAUGGAGAAAUAGUAUAAGCCUGCCAGUUACUUUAGGAAAGAAUCCACCAGUUACUUUCUUUACUCUAGAUUUACAUUUGUAGAAACUUUGGUCAACUCUACCUCAAAGUUAUACAGAGCUAAACAGUAGGUCAAACUCAAGAUAGUACUAAUAAAUGCUAGCAGUGCAAAGUCAGUAAACAUUUUUAUCUUCUGCUGCUUAUUACUUGUAAGUUUAGCUGCCACUGUUCCUCUACUUUUCCAUCACUCCUCUGUAUCCAGGAAUACAAGUUCACCUGACCUUCCUCACCCAGCCUCCCUGCCAUUCUUUGUCACACUAAAUUGCUCUGUUUCAGGGAGUCAUGUGUGAUGAAGUGGGGCAUCAGGUUCACUAUCACUGGCCUUGAGUAGUAAUAGCCUGUUUCAACUAUAUAAGACUUUUUGAUUGUAGAGGGAAACAUUGGAUUAACUUCUAAUAUCCAUCAUAAUUGCUUUGGAGAGGAUGUGGAAUGCCCACAACCAAGCAAUAUUUUAUCUCACCAUGCAACAAAAGAUUGCUCACUGUGCUCAAUCAUGACCUAACCCACCACAUU